Molecule: ribosomal RNA, 554 nt
Filed under: uncultured bacterium
Lineage: Bacteria
Description: bacterial SSU rRNA
Rfam family: Bacterial small subunit ribosomal RNA
Source: RNAcentral
UAGGGAAUCUUCGGCAAAUGGACGGAAAGUCUGACCGAGGCAACGCCGCGUGAGUGAAGAAAGGUUUUCGGAUCGUAAAGCUCUGUUGUAAGAGAAGAACGAGUGUGAGAGUGGAAAGUUCACACUGUGACGGUAUCUUACCAGAAAGGGACGGCUAACUACGUGCCAGCAGCCGCGGUAAUACGUAGGUCCCGAGCGUUGUCCGGAUUUAUUGGGCGUAAAGCGAGCGCAGGCGGUUAGAUAAGUCUGAAGUUAAAGGCUGUGGCUUAACCAUAGUACGCUUUGGAAACUGUUUAACUUGAGUGCAAGAGGGGAGAGUGGAAUUCCAUGUGUAGCGGUGAAAUGCGUAGAUAUAUGGAGGAACACCGGUGGCGAAAGCGGCUCUCUGGCUUGUAACUGACGCUGAGGCUCGAAAGCGUGGGGAGCAAACAGGAUUAGAUACCCUGGUAGUCCACGCCGUAAACGAUGAGUGCUAGGUGUUAGACCCUUUCCGGGGUUUAGUGCCGUAGCUAACGCAUUAAGCACUCCGCUUGGGGAGUUCGANNGCAAGGUUG